GAUCCUGGCUCAGAUUGAACGCUGGCGGCAUGCUUUACACAUGCAAGUCGAACGAUGAACCUUAGCUUGCUAAGGGGAUUAGUGGCGAACGGGUGAGUAAUAUAUCGGAACGUACCUUGUAAUGGGGGAUAACUAGUCGAAAGAUUAGCUAAUACCGCAUACGCCCUGAGGGGGAAAGCGGGGGACCGUAAGGCCUCGCGCGAUUAGAGCGGCCGAUAUCUGAUUAGCUUGUUGGUGGGGUAAAAGCCCACCAAGGCGACGAUCAGUAGCUGGUCUGAGAGGACGAUCAGCCACACUGGGACUGAGACACGGCCCAGACUCCUACGGGAGGCAGCAGUGGGGAAUUUUGGACAAUGGGGCAACCCUGAUCCAGCAAUGCCGCGUGAGUGAAGAAGGCCUUCGGGUUGUAAAGCUCUUUUGUCAGGGAAGAAACAGCAGCUCUAACACAGUCUGCGAAUGACGGUACCUGAAGAAUAAGCACCGGCUAACUACGUG
This 495-nucleotide ribosomal RNA is filed under the name uncultured bacterium. RNAcentral's name for it is "bacterial SSU rRNA". It matches the Rfam family "Bacterial small subunit ribosomal RNA", at positions 15 to 507 of the family's 1533-position model. The record is from RNAcentral.